Felis catus (domestic cat) is the source of this 845-nucleotide long non-coding RNA. RefSeq lists it as uncharacterized. NCBI's taxonomy places the organism in Eukaryota, Metazoa, Chordata, Mammalia, Carnivora, Felidae. The transcript is spliced from 2 exons. The record is from RefSeq and is a predicted model, not a curated record.
UCCCACAUGAAAUAGCUGUGUGCUCCUGUCUAGGACCCUUGUGUAAUAAACAUCGUCUAGCAACACUAUGGGGAUAAGUCAUAACUCAAAAUAGGCUAAUUUACGGCCCCGUGGUUACUUUUGUAUCACUUCUCUUUUCUGAUCCUUGCAAGACCUGCCACAUUAUGACACCUAUGCCUAGGUGUGGUAGACAGAAUAAUGACUCCCAAAGAGGAGCCAACAUCCUAAUAGCUGCAAACUACGACUAUAUAAUUAUGGGGCAAAGAGGAAUUAAGGCUGAUAUUUAGAUGAUCUAAAAAGAGGAACCCUAUACUGGAUUAACUUCACGGGGUCAAGAUCAUCACAAGGGAUCCUGAAAAGCGGAAGGAGGAGGCAGAGGAAGAGAGUCAGAGUGGUAUGACUAAGGAAGGGGACCGGAGAAAUGUAAUGCGAAAGGUAUUCGUUUCAUCCACCGUUGGCUUUGAGGAUGAAGGGGGCAGCUACAAGCCAAGGAAUACAGGUGGCCUCCAGAAACUGGAAGAGGAAAUCACAGACAUCCAAUAUCCAAGGCAGGUUAACAUGGAAGCUGUUCAGACUGAAGCCCAAGGCCUGUGUCUUUCCCGCAUCUGAGGGGCUCCGGCACUGAGGACAGUGUUUGAAAAUCGGGAGCCUAGAUCACUGGGCCCCUGGGCUGGAGAGCAGUGGAGCAGAAAACAAAACUCAGGUGUCCAGGCUUCACCCAGAAGUCUAAGCAGAGAGAUAGACUGUAGGCUCUUCUCAGCACACUCUGUGGAGACAGGCUUUCUCUGCCCUCUCUGAUCGAUGAGGUUCAUACAGCAUUACAGAACAUCUGUGGAUUUCCUACA